This 94-nucleotide ribosomal RNA is filed under the name Escherichia coli. Lineage: Bacteria; Pseudomonadati; Pseudomonadota; Gammaproteobacteria; Enterobacterales; Enterobacteriaceae. The record is from RNAcentral. RNAcentral also lists the same sequence under 2 other names.
UCUGGCGGCAGUAGCGCGGUGGUCCCACCUGACCCCAUGCCGAACUCAGAAGUGAAACGCCGUAGCGCCGAUGGUAGUGUGGGGUCUCCCCAUG